CAAGGAAUCUUGCGCAAUGGGCGAAAGCCUGACGCAGCGACGCCGCGUGGGGGAAGAAGGCUCUCGGGUCGUAAACCCCUUUUCUGGGGGAAGAAGUUCUGACGGUACCCCAGGAAUAAGCCCCGGCUAACUACGUGCCAGCAGCCGCGGUAAUACGUAGGGGGCGAGCGUUGUCCGAAUUUACUGGGCGUAAAGGGCGUGUAGGCGGCCCGGUAGGUCCUCUGUGAAAUCUCCCGGCUUAACCGGGAGCGGUCAGGGGAAACCACCAGGCUUGAGGGCAGCAGAGGAAGGCGGAAUUCCCGGUGUAGUGGUGAAAUACGUAGAUAUCGGGAGGAACACCAGAGGCGAAGGCGGCCUUCUGGGCUGUUGCUGACGCUGAGGCGCGAAAGCGUGGGGAGCGAACCGG
RNAcentral lists this ribosomal RNA (406 nucleotides) under uncultured bacterium. RNAcentral's name for it is "bacterial SSU rRNA". It matches the Rfam family "Bacterial small subunit ribosomal RNA", at positions 355 to 776 of the family's 1533-position model. The record is from RNAcentral.